GAUGAACGCUGGCGGCGUGCCUAAUACAUGCAAGUCGAGCGAACAGACGAGGAGCUUGCUCCUCUGACGUUAGCGGCGGACGGGUGAGUAACACGUGGAUAACCUACCUAUAAGACUGGGAUAACUUCGGGAAACCGCAGCUAAUAACGGAUAAUAUAUUCAACCGCAUGGUUCAAUAGUGAAAGACGGUUUUGCUGUCACUUAUAGAUGGAUCCGCGCCGCAUUAGCUAGUUGGUAAGGUAACGGCCUACCAAGGCGACGAUGCGUAGCCGGCCUGAGAGGGUGAUCAGCCACACUGGAACUGAGACACGGUCCAGACUCCUACGGGAGGCAGCAGUAGGGAAUAUUGCGCAAUGGGCGAAAGCCUGACGGAGCAACGCCGCGUGAGUGAUGAAGGUCUUCGGAUCGUAAAACUCUGUUAUUAGGGAAGAACAAAUGUGUAAGUAACUAUGCACGUCUUGACGGUACCUAAUCAGAAAGCCACGGCUAACUACGUG
Molecule: ribosomal RNA, 497 nt
Filed under: uncultured bacterium
Lineage: Bacteria
Description: partial 16S ribosomal RNA
Rfam family: Bacterial small subunit ribosomal RNA
Source: RNAcentral